GCCGGGCAUGGUGGCACAUGUCUGUAGUCUCAGCUACUCGGGAGGCUGAUGUGGGAGGAUCUCUUGAGCCCAGAAGUUCUGGACUGUAGUGCACUAUGCCGACUGGGUCUGCACGAAGUUUGGCAUCAAUAUGGUGACCUCCCAGGCGCGGGGGACCACCAGGUUGCCUAAGGAGGGGUGAACUGGCCCAGGAUGGAAACGGAGCAGGUCAAAACUCCUGUGCUGAUCAGUAGUGGGAUUGUGCCUGUGAAUAGCCACUGCCCUCCAGCCUCAGCAACAUAGCGAGACCCUGUCUCUA
This is an unclassified non-coding RNA of Callithrix jacchus (white-tufted-ear marmoset), 298 nucleotides long. It matches the Rfam family "Metazoan signal recognition particle RNA". Rfam says of the family: The signal recognition particle (SRP) is a universally conserved ribonucleoprotein. It is involved in the co-translational targeting of proteins to membranes. The eukaryotic SRP consists of a 300-nucleotide 7S RNA and six proteins: SRPs 72, 68, 54, 19, 14, and 9. The record is from Ensembl. Lineage: Eukaryota; Metazoa; Chordata; Mammalia; Primates; Cebidae.